This 660-nucleotide ribosomal RNA is filed under the name uncultured Bacilli bacterium. RNAcentral describes it as "bacterial SSU rRNA". It matches the Rfam family "Bacterial small subunit ribosomal RNA", at positions 68 to 707 of the family's 1533-position model. Lineage: Bacteria; Bacillati; Bacillota; Bacilli. The record is from RNAcentral.
UUCCACCGGAGCUUGCUCCACCGGAAAAAGAGGAGUGGCGAACGGGUGAGUAACACGUGGGUAACCUGCCCAUCAGAAGGGGAUAACACUUGGAAACAGGUGCUAAUACCGUAUAACAAUCAAAACCGCAUGGUUUUGAUUUGAAAGGCGCUUUCGGGUGUCGCUGAUGGAUGGACCCGCGGUGCAUUAGCUAGUUGGUGAGGUAACGGCUCACCAAGGCCACGAUGCAUAGCCGACCUGAGAGGGUGAUCGGCCACAUUGGGACUGAGACACGGCCCAAACUCCUACGGGAGGCAGCAGUAGGGAAUCUUCGGCAAUGGACGAAAGUCUGACCGAGCAACGCCGCGUGAGUGAAGAAAGUUUUCGGAUCGUAAAACUCUGUUGUUAGAGAAGAACAAGGAUGAGAGUAACUGUUCAUCCCUUGACGGUAUCUAACCAGAAAGCCACGGCUAACUACGUGCCAGCAGCCGCGGUAAUACGUAGGUGGCAAGCGUUGUCCGGAUUUAUUGGGCGUAAAGCGAGCGCAGGCGGUUUCUUAAGUCUGAUGUGAAAGCCCCCGGCUCAACCGGGGAGGGUCAUUGGAAACUGGGAGACUUGAGUGCAGAAGAGGAGAGUGGAAUUCCAUGUGUAGCGGUGAAAUGCGUAGAUAUAUGGAGGAAC